RNAcentral lists this ribosomal RNA (253 nucleotides) under uncultured bacterium. RNAcentral's name for it is "partial 16S ribosomal RNA". It matches the Rfam family "Bacterial small subunit ribosomal RNA", at positions 524 to 776 of the family's 1533-position model. The record is from RNAcentral.
UACAGAGGUGGCAAGCGUUGUUCGGAAUUACUGGGCGUAAAGGGCGCGUAGGCGGUUCCGUAAGUUCCGCGUGAAAUCCCCCGGCUCAACCGGGGAAUGGCGCGGAAAACUGCGGGGCUUGAGUUCGGGAGAGGGAAGCGGAAUUCCGGGUGUAGCGGUGAAAUGCGUAGAUAUCCGGAGGAACACCGGUGGCGAAGGCGGCUUCCUGGACCGACACUGACGCUGAGGCGCGAAAGCUAGGGGAGCAAACGGG